AGCUUUGCGCAGUGGCAGUAUCAUAGCUAAUGAGGUUUAUCCAAGAUUCGAUUAUUUCUGAUUGAAAACUUUUUCCAAUACCCCCCAGGACGACUUGCAACAUAGUCGACAUUGGCAAUUUUUGAGUCUCUACAGAGA
Small nuclear RNA from Cebus imitator (Panamanian white-faced capuchin), 138 nucleotides. RefSeq annotates it as U4 spliceosomal RNA. The transcript has a single exon. The record is from RefSeq and is a predicted model, not a curated record. Lineage: Eukaryota; Metazoa; Chordata; Mammalia; Primates; Cebidae.